GAGACAGGAACUAUUACUCUACCAACUCUACCAACUAGAAACUGUCAGGGCCGGGCCCUGAGCCAGCACAGCCUGAGUGGAAACCUGUCUGCUGAGCUGCCUCCUCCAUUCUUACUAGACAAGCCCCGCAACUUGGUUUCCUAGCCUGCCAAAGCAAGAUCUCUGACUUCCCAAGAUCGUCACUGCUAGCCUUCUCUGGUGACUCUCAGAGAGCCAAGGAAUUUUUGUUUCUCUUAUAAGAGGCCUGCACGGGCAUGAGGUGAAGAUUUGGACUGUUUUCUGAUGGGUGAAAGUCUCUCUAAUUGUACUGCACAGCAUACAAAUUAUGAACCAAAUAAUCAGAUUUGGCUGGAUUAUAUUUUCUCCUGGGAUAUUAGAUACAUUCCACUGAGUCCACAGAAGGGAAGGUGAAGAUCAAGACACCAUGACAAAUGCUAGUUACCUGUUUUCCAUCAUGCCUGGCUGCCUGAUUCAGGAGCUGGAGGAAAGCGGCCUCUGCUGCUGGGCACAAAUUUCUCAGAGGCCACCAGGCACCAUUCUGGAGUACUACUGGGUCUCAGAGUUCAUUGUCCGUCCCGCAAGGAUUAUCCAUCCUGUCAGACUACGCUGACCAAACUAGUGAGAGGCCAGCCCUAUGAUCUUUCCCCUGGGAAUAAGAAUUUGUCGUGCAAGGUUCACG
Long non-coding RNA from Galeopterus variegatus (Sunda flying lemur), 679 nucleotides. RefSeq lists it as uncharacterized. The transcript is spliced from 3 exons. The record is from RefSeq and is a predicted model, not a curated record. Lineage: Eukaryota; Metazoa; Chordata; Mammalia; Dermoptera; Cynocephalidae.